CCUACGGGAGGCAGCAGUGGGGAAUCUUAGACAAUGGGGGCAACCCUGAUCUAGUCAUGCCGCGUGAGUGAUGAAGGCCUUAGGGUCGUAAAGCUCUUUCGCCAGGGAUGAUAAUGACAGUACCUGGUAAAGAAACCCCGGCUAACUCCGUGCCAGCAGCCGCGGUAAU
This 169-nucleotide ribosomal RNA is filed under the name uncultured bacterium. RNAcentral's name for it is "partial 16S ribosomal RNA". It matches the Rfam family "Bacterial small subunit ribosomal RNA", at positions 338 to 524 of the family's 1533-position model. The record is from RNAcentral.